GACGAACGCUGGCGGCGUGCUUAACACAUGCAAGUCGAACGGAAAGGUCCUGCUUUUGUGGGGUGCUCGAGUGGCGAACGGGGGAGUAACACGUGAGUAACCUGCCCUUGACUUUGGGAUAACUUCAGGAAACUGGGGCUAAUACCGGAUAGGAGCUCCUGCUGCAUGGUGGGGGUUGGAAAGUUUCGGCGGUUGGGGAUGGACUCGCGGCUUAUCAGCUUGUUGGUGGGGUAGUGGCUUACCAAGGCUUUGACGGGUAGCCGGCCUGAGAGGGUGACCGGCCACAGUGGGACUGAGAGACGGCCCAGGCGACUAUGGGAGGCAGGAGUGGAGAAUAUUGCACAAUGGGCGGAAGCGUGAUGAAGCAACGCCGCGUGCGAGAUGACGGUGUUGGGGUUGUAAACCGCUUUCGCCUGUGACGAAGCGUGAGUGACGGUAAAGAGUAAAGAAGCACCGGCUAUCUAUG
RNAcentral lists this ribosomal RNA (466 nucleotides) under uncultured bacterium. RNAcentral's name for it is "partial 16S ribosomal RNA". It matches the Rfam family "Bacterial small subunit ribosomal RNA", at positions 28 to 505 of the family's 1533-position model. The record is from RNAcentral.